UACGUAGGGUGCGAGCGUUGUCCGGAAUUAUUGGGCGUAAAGAGCUCGUAGGCGGUUUGUCGCGUCGGCUGUGAAAACCCGGGGCUCAACCCCGGGCCUGCAGUCGAUACGGGCAAACUAGAGUGUGGUAGGGGAGACUGGAAUUCCUGGUGUAGCGGUGAAAUGCGCAGAUAUCAGGAGGAACACCGGUGGCGAAGGCGGGUCUCUGGGCCAUAACUGACGCUGAGGAGCGAAAGCGUGGGGAGCGAACAGG
Molecule: ribosomal RNA, 253 nt
Filed under: uncultured bacterium
Lineage: Bacteria
Description: partial 16S ribosomal RNA
Rfam family: Bacterial small subunit ribosomal RNA
Source: RNAcentral